AAAGAUCGCAGCCUGCGGCAGCUCAGGGAUGAAUGAGUACCUGUAGGCGCUGCCGCAGGCUGCGAUCUUU
Molecule: unclassified non-coding RNA, 70 nt
Filed under: Pseudomonas helmanticensis
Lineage: Bacteria; Pseudomonadati; Pseudomonadota; Gammaproteobacteria; Pseudomonadales; Pseudomonadaceae
Source: RNAcentral